UAAAGCACUCGUUAAUGCAGCAGCAAGGCUCUUGGAAGGACAUUUGAGGCUAGAAGAAUGGCUCCCAUCAGCCUACUCUGGAUGUGUUUUGAAGUCUGGAAAACAAUAUCAGCAGGUUUUAUAUUGUGUGUGGGGUCCAAGUUAAAAUUGAACUCCGCAGGCCACGUAUGGUGUGGCAUGGACACAGCCCAGCGUUUUGACAGCUGUGAAUGAGUCUAAUUUUGAAAAGCAGUUCCUUGUGUGAGCUGCUGUUCCUGCAGAGCUGGUCAGCUGGUGGAAACAGGAUGUGUCUGAGGAUGCUUUACAUGUAAUAAUGGCUUUUGAAGAGGAAUUAAUAUAGACUCUGACUCAUCUCUCCUACUGAAAUAAAAAGCCAAUUUUAUCUUGCUUUAA
Pogoniulus pusillus (Red-fronted tinkerbird) is the source of this 393-nucleotide long non-coding RNA. RefSeq lists it as uncharacterized. The transcript is spliced from 2 exons. The record is from RefSeq and is a predicted model, not a curated record. Lineage: Eukaryota; Metazoa; Chordata; Aves; Piciformes; Lybiidae.